This is a long non-coding RNA of Gasterosteus aculeatus aculeatus (three-spined stickleback), 453 nucleotides long. Lineage: Eukaryota; Metazoa; Chordata; Actinopteri; Perciformes; Gasterosteidae. The record is from Ensembl.
CGUAUUUUCGGCAAAAUCCAAAAAGGGAUUAACAGUAAAAGUUUUUACAGUAAAAGGAACUAUCAAAGGAUUUUACUGUCAAGCGCAGCAGGUUGCUAGGCAACAGGAGCAGCGGAGGUAAAGCUGAUGACGCAAGUAGGACGUCCCCCCCGUAGGCCAAGCUGUCCCAUUUCAGAGACCGCUCGGUUCACCCUAUGUGGUUGUUGGAGGACGCAGCCCAUGUAGACCAGAAGGCUGGUCCUACAAGGAUGCAGCCCAAUAAUUUGAGACAUGGCUUAUGACGGAUGGGACACACAGUGCGACAGGGAGAGGUGGAGGCUCCGCCCACACUGCAAGUGAGGACAGAAACCAACACAACAUGGAUCCAAAUGCAAAAUACUGUGGACGAGGACGGCGGCUUGAAGGGAACCGAGAGAACUAAAACCAGAAGGAUGAAGAUGUACGUGUUCUACA